This 583-nucleotide ribosomal RNA is filed under the name uncultured bacterium. RNAcentral's name for it is "bacterial SSU rRNA". It matches the Rfam family "Bacterial small subunit ribosomal RNA", at positions 52 to 645 of the family's 1533-position model. The record is from RNAcentral.
CCCAUGCGAUUAGAACGGAUCUUCGGGAUUCGUGGCGUGACGGCUGAGUAACACGUGGGAACGUGCCCUUUGUGUUCGGACACAACUCAGUGCAAACUUGAGCUAACUACCGGAUGUGCCCUUCGGUGGUGAAAGAUUUAUCGCCAUUGGAGCGGCCCGCGUCUGAUUAGCUAGUUGGUGGGGUAAAGGCCCACCAAGGCGACGAUCAGUAGCUGGUCUGAGAGGAUGACCAGUCACACUGGGACUGAGACACGGCCCAGACUCCUACGGGAGUGCAGCAGUGGGGAAUAUUGGACAAUGGGCGCAAGCCUGAUCCAGCAAUGCCGCGUGUGUGAAGAAGGCCUUCGGGUUGUAAAGCACUUUCAAUCUGGGAAGAAAAGCAUUCGGUUAAUACCCGGAUGUCUUGACGGUACCGAUACAAGAAGCCACCGGCUAACUCCGUGCCAGCAGCCGCGGUACUACGGAGGGUGCCAGCGUAAAUCGAGAAUUACUGGGCGUCAAGCGCACGCAGGCGGUUCGGUAAGUCAGAUGUGACAAGCCCAGAGCUCAACCUGAGAACCUGAUUAGACACUGGGAGACUAGA